This 489-nucleotide unclassified non-coding RNA is filed under the name Hevea brasiliensis (rubber tree). The record is from RNAcentral. Lineage: Eukaryota; Viridiplantae; Streptophyta; Magnoliopsida; Malpighiales; Euphorbiaceae.
UUUAUGGUUGAUGGCCUCCUUGAAGUGAAAGGAAGAAUCAAAGAGUGAGAGCUAAGUCGUUGCGAAAGCGGUGGCGGUGGUGGCUGCUCAUCUUUGUUCUCGUCAGCCACCGUGGGGAGUAGCGGUUUUGUGGUAGAAGUUAACGUCUCUGGAGUGUGCCUUCUUGUUAAAGAGGAGGACAGAAAUGAGCUACCCCAUCUUGUUAAAGAUGACGUUCCCAAUAACCCAAUGUUAGGCGAUGGCACACUGCCCAACAUAUCCAUUGAUUGUCUGUAACUUUGUGGCCAUGUAGUAGUGUACGAAUUAGGCUUGCUUCGUCUCUGAUUUUCAGUCGAAGCAUCGGAAGAAUCCGAAUCGUUUCCAUCUUCUUCAUCUCUGUUCACUACAUUCUCCUGAUCUUCUUCUUCGUCUUCACUUUCAUACAAAAAACUCUGCUCCGAAACAGAACUCUUCAUCGUCUCCUUACUGUAUACUCCACAGAGAUCGAAG